This 1006-nucleotide ribosomal RNA is filed under the name Bacillus licheniformis. RNAcentral describes it as "bacterial SSU rRNA". It matches the Rfam family "Bacterial small subunit ribosomal RNA", at positions 37 to 1026 of the family's 1533-position model. The record is from RNAcentral. Lineage: Bacteria; Bacillati; Bacillota; Bacilli; Caryophanales; Bacillaceae.
UGGGGGGGGUGCUAUACAUGCAAGUCGAGCGGACCGACGGGAGCUUGCUCCCUUAGGUCAGCGGCGGACGGGUGAGUAACACGUGGGUAACCUGCCUGUAAGACUGGGAUAACUCCGGGAAACCGGGGCUAAUACCGGAUGCUUGAUUGAACCGCAUGGUUCAAUUAUAAAAGGUGGCUUUUAGCUACCACUUACAGAUGGACCCGCGGCGCAUUAGCUAGUUGGUGAGGUAACGGCUCACCAAGGCAACGAUGCGUAGCCGACCUGAGAGGGUGAUCGGCCACACUGGGACUGAAACACGGCCCAAACUCCUACGGGAGGCAGCAGUAGGGAAUCUUCCGCAAUGGACGAAAGUCUGACGGAGCAACGCCGCGUGAGUGAUGAAGGUUUUCGGAUCGUAAAACUCUGUUGUUAGGGAAGAACAAGUACCGUUCGAAUAGGGCGGUACCUUGACGGUACCUAACCAGAAAGCCACGGCUAACUACGUGCCAGCAGCCGCGGUAAUACGUAGGUGGCAAGCGUUGUCCGGAAUUAUUGGGCGUAAAGCGCGCGCAGGCGGUUUCUUAAGUCUGAUGUGAAAGCCCCCGGCUCAACCGGGGAGGGUCAUUGGAAACUGGGGAACUUGAGUGCAGAAGAGGAGAGUGGAAUUCCACGUGUAGCGGUGAAAUGCGUAGAGAUGUGGAGGAACACCAGUGGCGAAGGCGACUCUCUGGUCUGUAACUGACGCUGAGGCGCGAAAGCGUGGGGAGCGAACAGGAUUAGAUACCCUGGUAGUCCACGCCGUAAACGAUGAGUGCUAAGUGUUAGAGGGUUUCCGCCCUUUAGUGCUGCAGCAAACGCAUUAAGCACUCCGCCUGGGGAGUACGGUCGCAAGACUGAAACUCAAAGGAAUUGACGGGGGCCCGCACAAGCGGUGAGCAUGUGUUUAAUUCGAAGCAACGCGAAGAACCUUACCAGGUCUUGACAUCCUCUGACAACCCUAGAGAUAGGGCUUCCCCUUCGGGGG